RNAcentral lists this ribosomal RNA (442 nucleotides) under uncultured bacterium. RNAcentral describes it as "partial 16S ribosomal RNA". It matches the Rfam family "Bacterial small subunit ribosomal RNA", at positions 339 to 795 of the family's 1533-position model. The record is from RNAcentral.
CUACGGGCGGCUCCAGUGGGGGAUAUUGCACAAUGGGCGCAAGCCUGAUGCAGCAACGCCGCGUGCGGGAAGACGGCCUUCGGGUUGUAAACCGCUGUCCUUGGUGAAGAAACAAAUGACGGUAACCAUGGAGGAAGCCACGGCUAGCUACGUGCCAGCAGCCGCGGUAAUACGUAGGUGGCAAGCGUUGUCCGGAUUUACUGGGUGUAAAGGGGGCGCAGGCGGGUCUGCAAGUUGGAUGUGAAAUACCGGAGCUCAACGCCGGAGCUGCAUCCAAAACUGUAGAUCUUGAGUGGAGUAGAGGCAAGCGGAAUUCCGAGUGUAGCGGUGAAAUGCGUAGAUAUUCGGAGGAACACCAGUGGCGAAGGCGGCUUGCUGGGCUCUAACUGACGCUGAGGCCCGAAAGCGUGGGGAGCAAACAGGAUUAGAUACCCGAGUAGUC